AUUGAACGCUGGCGGCAUGCCUUACACAUGCAAGUCGAACGGUAACAGGUCUUCGGAUGCUGACGAGUGGCGAACGGGUGAGUAAUACAUCGGAACGUGCCCGAUCGUGGGGGAUAACGAGGCGAAAGCUUUGCUAAUACCGCAUACGAUCUACGGAUGAAAGCGGGGGAUCUUCGGACCUCGCGCGGACGGAGCGGCCGAUGGCAGAUUAGGUAGUUGGUGGGAUAGAAGCUUACCAAGCCGACGAUCUUUAGCUGGUCUGAGAGGAUGAUCAGCCACACUGGAACUGAGACACGGCCCAGACUCCUACGGGAGGCAGCAGUGGGGAAUUUUGGACAAUGGGCGAAAGCCUGAUCCAGCCAUGCCGCGUGCAGGAUGAAGGCCUUCGGGUUGUAAACUGCUUUUGUACGGAACGAAAAGCCUCUUUCUAAUAAAGAGGGGUCAUGACGGUACCGUAAGAAUAAGCACCGGCUAACUACGUG
This 482-nucleotide ribosomal RNA is filed under the name uncultured bacterium. RNAcentral describes it as "partial 16S ribosomal RNA". It matches the Rfam family "Bacterial small subunit ribosomal RNA", at positions 30 to 507 of the family's 1533-position model. The record is from RNAcentral.